AACUAUUGUGUAAGUUCUCAAUUAAUUUCUAAACUUGAAAAUGUUAUUUUAAAUUAGUUUUUAAACUACAAAAUAUUUUAAUCGGAUUCUCAAAAUAUUAAAAUUGUAUUAAUUAGGUUUUCUCAUCAACCUAAACAUUAACUUAAGCAUUAAAUUUUAAUUCGAAUCUAAUAUGUAGCAUAUUAAAAUAUGUUGAUUGAAUUAAAACAUGUUUUUACUACAUGGACAAUUUGAAUUUGACACGUUAAGAAAGAUAUUCUUUCAAAUUUAGGAGAACUG
Molecule: long non-coding RNA, 279 nt
Filed under: Gossypium barbadense (sea-island cotton)
Lineage: Eukaryota; Viridiplantae; Streptophyta; Magnoliopsida; Malvales; Malvaceae
Description: long non-coding RNA (GBAR_LNC005846)
Source: RNAcentral